AACGCACGAGACCUGCGGACCUGCGGAGGGAUCAUUACUGAGUAACGCGGUCUUUUUAGACCCGGUACCCGCCCUAUGUCAUAUGUUGGACGAGGUCGUCUUUAGGGGCGGCCUCCGACCCCACUUCCCGGGAAGCGUUGCGCCUCAUCAGGUCUAGGCCUUGACGAGGAUGGGACCGCCCGGGGUCUUUUUCAACCCUUUGUAAGAAAUCUGAAGUCUGAAGCGAAAGCUUAAAAUAAA
RNAcentral lists this unclassified non-coding RNA (240 nucleotides) under soil metagenome. RNAcentral's name for it is "partial contains 5.8S ribosomal RNA, internal transcribed spacer 2, and large subunit ribosomal RNA". The record is from RNAcentral.